RNAcentral lists this ribosomal RNA (450 nucleotides) under uncultured bacterium. Its description in RNAcentral is "partial 16S ribosomal RNA". It matches the Rfam family "Bacterial small subunit ribosomal RNA", at positions 354 to 796 of the family's 1533-position model. The record is from RNAcentral.
GUGGGGAAUCUUCCGCAAUGGACGAAAGUCUGACGGAGCAACGCCGCGUGAGUGAUGAAGGUCUUCGGAUUGUAAAGCUCUGUUAAUCGGGACGAAAGAGCCUAGUGUGAAUAAUGCUAGUAAGUGACGGUACCGGAAUAGAAAGCCACGGCUAACUACGUGCCAGCAGCCGCGGUAAUACGUAGGUGGCAAGCGUUGUCCGGAAUUAUUGGGCGUAAAGCGCGCGCAGGCGGAUCUGCCAGUCUGUCUUAAAAGUUCGGGGCUUAACCCCGUGAUGGGAUGGAAACUACAGAUCUAGAGUAUCGGAGAGGAAAGUGGAAUUCCUAGUGUAGCGGUGAAAUGCGUAGAUAUUAGGAAGAACACCAGUGGCGAAGGCGACUUUCUGGACGAGAACUGACGCUGAGGCGCGAAAGCCAGGGGAGCGAACGGGAUUAGAAACCCGUGUAGUCC